Molecule: ribosomal RNA, 1538 nt
Filed under: Klebsiella quasipneumoniae
Lineage: Bacteria; Pseudomonadati; Pseudomonadota; Gammaproteobacteria; Enterobacterales; Enterobacteriaceae
Description: bacterial SSU rRNA
Rfam family: Bacterial small subunit ribosomal RNA
Source: RNAcentral
AAAUUGAAGAGUUUGAUCAUGGCUCAGAUUGAACGCUGGCGGCAGGCCUAACACAUGCAAGUCGAGCGGUAGCACAGAGAGCUUGCUCUCGGGUGACGAGCGGCGGACGGGUGAGUAAUGUCUGGGAAACUGCCUGAUGGAGGGGGAUAACUACUGGAAACGGUAGCUAAUACCGCAUAACGUCGCAAGACCAAAGUGGGGGACCUUCGGGCCUCAUGCCAUCAGAUGUGCCCAGAUGGGAUUAGCUAGUAGGUGGGGUAACGGCUCACCUAGGCGACGAUCCCUAGCUGGUCUGAGAGGAUGACCAGCCACACUGGAACUGAGACACGGUCCAGACUCCUACGGGAGGCAGCAGUGGGGAAUAUUGCACAAUGGGCGCAAGCCUGAUGCAGCCAUGCCGCGUGUGUGAAGAAGGCCUUCGGGUUGUAAAGCACUUUCAGCGGGGAGGAAGGCGUAAGGUUAAUANNNNNNNNNNNGACGUUACCCGCAGAAGAAGCACCGGCUAACUCCGUGCCAGCAGCCGCGGUAAUACGGAGGGUGCAAGCGUUAAUCGGAAUUACUGGGCGUAAAGCGCACGCAGGCGGUCUGUCAAGUCGGAUGUGAAAUCCCCGGGCUCAACCUGGGAACUGCAUUCGAAACUGGCAGGCUAGAGUCUUGUAGAGGGGGGUAGAAUUCCAGGUGUAGCGGUGAAAUGCGUAGAGAUCUGGAGGAAUACCGGUGGCGAAGGCGGCCCCCUGGACAAAGACUGACGCUCAGGUGCGAAAGCGUGGGGAGCAAACAGGAUUAGAUACCCUGGUAGUCCACGCCGUAAACGAUGUCGAUUUGGAGGUUGUGCCCUUGAGGCGUGGCUUCCGGAGCUAACGCGUUAAAUCGACCGCCUGGGGAGUACGGCCGCAAGGUUAAAACUCAAAUGAAUUGACGGGGGCCCGCACAAGCGGUGGAGCAUGUGGUUUAAUUCGAUGCAACGCGAAGAACCUUACCUGGUCUUGACAUCCACAGAACUUUCCAGAGAUGGAUUGGUGCCUUCGGGAACUGUGAGACAGGUGCUGCAUGGCUGUCGUCAGCUCGUGUUGUGAAAUGUUGGGUUAAGUCCCGCAACGAGCGCAACCCUUAUCCUUUGUUGCCAGCGGUCCGGCCGGGAACUCAAAGGAGACUGCCAGUGAUAAACUGGAGGAAGGUGGGGAUGACGUCAAGUCAUCAUGGCCCUUACGACCAGGGCUACACACGUGCUACAAUGGCAUAUACAAAGAGAAGCGACCUCGCGAGAGCAAGCGGACCUCAUAAAGUAUGUCGUAGUCCGGAUUGGAGUCUGCAACUCGACUCCAUGAAGUCGGAAUCGCUAGUAAUCGUAGAUCAGAAUGCUACGGUGAAUACGUUCCCGGGCCUUGUACACACCGCCCGUCACACCAUGGGAGUGGGUUGCAAAAGAAGUAGGUAGCUUAACCUUCGGGAGGGCGCUUACCACUUUGUGAUUCAUGACUGGGGUGAAGUCGUAACAAGGUAACCGUAGGGGAACCUGCGGUUGGAUCACCUCCUUA